ACUGUACACCAGCAUUUAUGUUCAGUAGUAUGACAUUAAUGUGUGGAAAUUGACAUUUCUUUUUUCAUUGUGUGAUUGUUAUUUUCAGAAAUAAUGCUCUGGUAACAACAAAAAAAAAAAAAUAUAUAUAUAUAUAUAAUUCAACAGAAAGAUGAUGGCUGUGGUGAAACAAGUGCUCAAAUAACAAAAUACGUGUUAUUGUGCAAGGGGUAGUUGCAUGGACUAUCAGUGGAGGGUCAGAAGGCUCAGAGAUUUCAUUAUAAAGAUCUUUAUUUGUGUUCUGAAGAUGAACAAAAGACUUAUGGGUUCGGAAUGACAUGAGGACUACAUCCAAAAUAGUGUUUCCACAUCUGAGAUAAAGUCAGUCACUAGCAAGCGGAACGAUGAGGAUAAGUUCUUCAAAAAAUGAAACCUGCCUGAAAAAUGAGGGAAGAAAUGUGCAUGAUUGCGUGAUUUGUAAAUAAACAUUAAGGACAUUUAGUGUAACUCUCAGUCUGUUAUUUU
This is a long non-coding RNA of Cyprinus carpio carpio, 504 nucleotides long. The record is from Ensembl. Lineage: Eukaryota; Metazoa; Chordata; Actinopteri; Cypriniformes; Cyprinidae.